AACGCACAUUGCGCCCCUUGGUAUUCCGAGGGGCACGCCUGUUCGAGCGUCAUUUAAACAAUCAAGCCCUGCUUGGUCUUGGGCGCGGUCGAGUGACCCGUCCGUAACCCGUUGGCGGUGCAGUCCGGCUUCAAGCGUAGCAAAAAUUUCGCUUCAGGAGUCCGCGGCGGUACCCGCCAGGUAACUUGUAUACCUAAAGUUUGACCUCGGAUCAGGUGAGGAUACCCGCUGAACUUAA
This 238-nucleotide unclassified non-coding RNA is filed under the name uncultured fungus. RNAcentral describes it as "sequence contains ITS2". The stretch from base 1 to 52 matches the Rfam family "5.8S ribosomal RNA", at positions 103 to 154 of the family's 154-position model. The record is from RNAcentral. Lineage: Eukaryota; Fungi.